UACGGAGGGGGCUAGCGUUGUUCGGAAUUACUGGGCGUAAAGCGCACGUAGGCGGCUUUGUAAGUUAGAGGUGAAAGCCCGGGGCUCAACUCCGGAACUGCCUUUAAGACUGCAUCGCUCGAAUUGUGGAGAGGUAAGUGGAAUUCCGAGUGUAGAGGUGAAAUUCGUAGAUAUUCGGAGGAACACCAGUGGCGAAGGCGGCUCACUGGUCCAUUACUGACGCUGAGGUGCGAAAGCGUGGGGAGCAAACAGG
Molecule: ribosomal RNA, 253 nt
Filed under: uncultured bacterium
Lineage: Bacteria
Description: partial 16S ribosomal RNA
Rfam family: Bacterial small subunit ribosomal RNA
Source: RNAcentral